RNAcentral lists this ribosomal RNA (468 nucleotides) under uncultured bacterium. Its description in RNAcentral is "partial 16S ribosomal RNA". It matches the Rfam family "Bacterial small subunit ribosomal RNA", at positions 28 to 507 of the family's 1533-position model. The record is from RNAcentral.
GACGAACGCUGGCGGUGUGCUUAACACAUGCAAGUCGAACGGAAAGGCCCUGCUUUUGUGGGGUGCUCGAGUGGCGAACGGGUGAGUAACACGUUAGUAACCUGCCCUUGACUUUGGGAUAACUUCAGGUAACUGGGGCUAAUACCGGAUAGGAGCUCCUGCUGCAUGGUGGGGGUUGGAAAGUUUCGGCGGUUGGGGAUGGACUCGCGGCUUAUCAGCUUGUUGGUGGGGUAGUUGCUUACCAAGGCUUUGACGGGUAGCCGGCCUGGGAGGGUGACCGGCCACAUUGGGACUGAGAUACGGCCCAGACUCAUACGGGAGGCAGCAGUGGGGAAUAUUGCACAAUGGGCGGAAGCCUGAUGCAGCGACGCCGCGUGCGGGAUGACGGCCUUCGGGUUGUAAACCGCUUUCGCCUGUGACGAAGCGUGAGUGACGGUAAUGGGUAAAGAAGCACCGGCUAACUACGUG